GCCCCCCAGAGUCCUUCCUCUGCAGGUCUAUCUGUCUGAGUGGCUACAAAAGGAGGAAAAGUAAAACUGAGGUGGACUUGGAGUAUUUAAUGACUUCCAAGUUCAUUUCAAACAUAA
Molecule: small nucleolar RNA, 117 nt
Filed under: Echinops telfairi (small Madagascar hedgehog)
Lineage: Eukaryota; Metazoa; Chordata; Mammalia; Afrosoricida; Tenrecidae
Description: Small nucleolar RNA SNORA61 (ENSETEG00000025284.1)
Source: RNAcentral